GUGGGGAAUCUUGCGCAAUGGGCGAAAGCCUGACGCAGCCAUGCCGCGUGAAUGAUGAAGGUCUUAGGAUUGUAAAAUUCUUUCACCGGGGACGAUAAUGACGGUACCCGGAGAAGAAGCUCCGGCUAACUUCGUGCCAGCAGCCGCGGUAAUACGAAGGGGGCUAGCGUUGCUCGGAAUUACUGGGCGUAAAGGGCGCGUAGGCGGACAGCUUAGUCAGAGGUGAAAUCCCAGGGCUCAACCUUGGAAUUGCCUUUGAUACUGGCUGUCUUGAGUUUGGGAGAGGUGAGUGGAACUCCGAGUGUAGAGGUGAAAUUCGUAGAUAUUCGGAAGAAGACCAGUGGCGAAGGCGACUCACUGGCCCAAUACUGACGCUGAGGCGCGAAAGCGUGGGGAGCAAACAGGAUUAGAUACCCUGGUAGUCC
This 425-nucleotide ribosomal RNA is filed under the name uncultured bacterium. Its description in RNAcentral is "partial 16S ribosomal RNA". It matches the Rfam family "Bacterial small subunit ribosomal RNA", at positions 354 to 796 of the family's 1533-position model. The record is from RNAcentral.